Molecule: ribosomal RNA, 253 nt
Filed under: uncultured bacterium
Lineage: Bacteria
Description: partial 16S ribosomal RNA
Rfam family: Bacterial small subunit ribosomal RNA
Source: RNAcentral
UACGAGGGGGGCGAGCGUUGUUCGGAAUUAUUGGGCGUAAAGGGUGCGUAGGCGGUUUGGUAAGUCUCGUGUGAAAUCUACAGGCUCAACUUGUAGUCUGCACGAGAAACUGCCGGGCUUGAGUGUGGGAGAGGUGAGUGGAAUUCCUGGUGUAGCGGUGAAAUGCGCAGAUAUCAGGAGGAACACCGGUGGCGAAGGCGGGUCUCUGGGCCUGUACUGACGCUGAGGAGCGAAAGCGUGGGGAGCGAACAGG